Molecule: small RNA, 596 nt
Filed under: Pan troglodytes (chimpanzee)
Lineage: Eukaryota; Metazoa; Chordata; Mammalia; Primates; Hominidae
Description: processed transcript
Source: RNAcentral
CAGGGCGCCAGCCCAGGCCUGAGGAAGCAGCGGAAUUCCAGGCAGAGUUUGUGUCUACCCCUGAGCUGGCUGCCCAAUCUGAUUUCAUCGUCGUGGCCUGCUCCUUAACACCUGCAACCGAGGGACUCUGCAACAAGGACUUCUUCCAGAAGAUGAAGGAAACAGCUGUGUUCAUCAACAUCAGCAGGGGCGACGUCGUAAACCAGGACGACCUGUACCAGGCCUUGGCCAGUGGUAAGAUUGCAGCUGCUGGACUGGAUGUGACAAGCCCAGAACCACUGCCUACAAACCACCCUCUCCUGACCCUGAAGAACUGUGCCGGGUAUGGUGGUGCAUGCCUAUAGUCCCAGCUGUUUGGGAGGCUGAGGCAGAAGAAUCGCUUGAACCCAGGAGGCACAGGUUGCAGUAGGCCGAGAUUGUGCCACUGCACUCCAGCCUGGGUGGCAGAGUGAGACUCCAUCUCCAAAACAACAACAACAACGUGGGCUGACUACAUGUCUCCAUGUGUUACACCACAGUGACUCGUGUGUAAAACCUGUUACUAUAAAUUGCUAUUACCAGUUUAGCUGUGAAAAAUUAAAAUUGUAAUGACAAUG